GGCUCGGUAGCUUAGUUGGUAAAACACUCGUCUUGCUUACAAAAAUCCUGGGUUCGAACCCCAGCUGAGCAC
Molecule: transfer RNA, 72 nt
Filed under: Aedes aegypti (yellow fever mosquito)
Lineage: Eukaryota; Metazoa; Arthropoda; Insecta; Diptera; Culicidae
Rfam family: tRNA
About the family: Transfer RNA (tRNA) molecules are approximately 80 nucleotides in length.
Source: Rfam by way of RNAcentral